UACGGAGGAUGCAAGCGUUUUCCGGAAUUAUUGGGCGUAAAGCGUCCGCAGGUGGCUGUUCAAGUCUGCUGUCAAAGCGCAGAGCUUAACUCUGUACAGGCGGUGGAAACUGAAGAGCUAGAGUAUGGUAGGGGUAGAGGGAAUUCCCGGUGUAGCGGUGAAAUGCGUAGAUAUCGGGAAGAACACCAGUGGCGAAAGCGCUCUACUGGGCCAUAACUGACACUGAGGGACGAAAGCUAGGGGAGCGAAAGGG
This 253-nucleotide ribosomal RNA is filed under the name uncultured bacterium. Its description in RNAcentral is "partial 16S ribosomal RNA". It matches the Rfam family "Bacterial small subunit ribosomal RNA", at positions 524 to 776 of the family's 1533-position model. The record is from RNAcentral.